GUGGGGGAUAUUGCACAAUGGGGGAAACCCUGAUGCAGCGACGCCGCGUGAGGGAAGACGGCCUUCGGGUUGUAAACCUCUGUCUUCGGGGACGAAUAAAUGACGGUACCCGAGGAGGAAGCCACGGCUAACUACGUGCCAGCAGCCGCGGUAAUACGUAGGUGGCAAGCGUUGUCCGGAAUUACUGGGUGUAAAGGGAGCGUAGGCGGGGAGGCAAGUUGAAUGUCUAAACUAUCGGCUCAACUGAUAGUCGCGUUCAAAACUGCCACUCUUGAGUGCAGUAGAGGUAGGUGGAAUUCCUAGUGUAGCGGUGAAAUGCGUAGAUAUUAGGAGGAACACCAGUGGCGAAGGCGGCCUACUGGGCUGUAACUGACGCUGAGGCUCGAAAGCGUGGGUAGCAAACAGGA
Molecule: ribosomal RNA, 407 nt
Filed under: uncultured bacterium
Lineage: Bacteria
Description: bacterial SSU rRNA
Rfam family: Bacterial small subunit ribosomal RNA
Source: RNAcentral